This 868-nucleotide ribosomal RNA is filed under the name Agaricus sp. LD2012162. Its description in RNAcentral is "eukaryotic LSU rRNA". It matches the Rfam family "Eukaryotic large subunit ribosomal RNA", at positions 73 to 928 of the family's 3401-position model. The record is from RNAcentral. Lineage: Eukaryota; Fungi; Basidiomycota; Agaricomycetes; Agaricales; Agaricaceae.
GAUUCCCCUAGUAACUGCGAGUGAAGCGGGAAAAGCUCAAAUUUAAAAUCUGGUGGUCUAUGGCCGCCCGAGUUGUAAUCUAGAGAAGUAAUGCCCGUGCUGGACCGUGUAUAAGUCUCCUGGGAUGGGGCGUCAUAGAGGGUGAGAAUCCCGUCUUUGACACGGACUACCAGUGCUGUGUGGUAUGCUCUCAAAGAGUCGAGUUGUUUGGGAAUGCAGCUCAAAAUGGGUGGUAAAUUCCAUCUAAAGCUAAAUAUUGGCGAGAGACCGAUAGCGAACAAGUACCGUGAGGGAAAGAUGAAAAGAACUUUGGAAAGAGAGUUAAACAGUACGUGAAAUUGCUGAAAGGGAAACGCUUGAAGUCAGUCGCGUUGGCCAGGGAUCAGCCUUGCUUUUGCAUGGUGUACUUUCUGGUUGACGGGUCAGCAUCAAUUUUGACCACUGGAAAAGGUCCUGGGGAAUGUGACAGCUUAGGCUGUGUUAUAGCCCCUGGUCGCAUACAGUGGUUGGGAUUGAGGAACUCAGCACGCCGCAAGGCCGGGUUUCGACCACGUUCGUGCUUAGGAUGCUGGCAUAAUGGCUUUAAGCGACCCGUCUUGAAACACGGACCAAGGAGUCUAACAUGCCUGCGAGUAUUUGGGUGGCAAACCCGAGUGCGUAAUGAAAGUGAAAGUUGAGAUCCCUGUCAUGGGGAGCAUCGACGCCCGGACCAGAACUUUUGGGACGGAUCCGCGGUGGAGCAUGUAUGUUGGGACCCGAAAGAUGGUGAACUAUGCCUGAAUAGGGUGAAGCCAGAGGAAACUCUGGUGGAGGCUCGUAGCGAUUCUGACGUGCAAAUCGAUCGUCAAAUUUGGGUAUAGGGGCGAAA